GGGUUGUGAGGUUAAGCGAACAAGCGUACACGGUGGAUGCCCUGGCAGUCAGAGGCGAUGAAGGACGUGCUAAUCUGCGAAAAGCGCCGGUAAGGUGAUAUGAACCGUUAUAACCGGCGAUGUCCGAAUGGGGAAACCCGGUGCACUUCGGUGCAUCAUCGUUAGCUGAAUACAUAGGCUAACGAAGCGAACCGGGGGAACUGAAACAUCUAAGUACCCCGAGGAAAAGAAAUCAACCGAGAUUCCCCCAGUAGCGGCGAGCGAACGGGGAACAGCCCAGAGCCUGAAUCAGCUUGUGUGUCAGUGGAACGGUCUGGAAAGGCCGGCGAUACAGGGUGACAGCCCCGUACACGAAGGCACACAGGCUGUGAGCUCGAUGAGUAGGGCGGGACACGUGAUAUCCUGUCUGAAGAUGGGGGGACCAUCCUCCAAGGCUAAAUACUCCUGACUGACCGAUAGUGAACCAGUACCGUGAGGGAAAGGCGAAAAGAACCCCGGCGAGGGGAGUGAAACAGAACCUGAAACCGUGUACGUACAAGCAGUGGGAGCCUUCGUAAGAGGGUGACUGCGUACCUUUUGUAUAAUGGGUCAGCGACUUAUAUUCUGUAGCAAGGUUAACCGUAUAGGGGAGCCGAAGGGAAACCGAGUCUUAAUUGGGCGUUAAGUUGCAGGGUAUAGACCCGAAACCCGGUGAUCUAGCCAUGGGCAGGUUGAAGGUUGGGUAACACUAACUGGAGGACCGAACCGACUAAUGUUGAAAAAUUAGCGGAUGACCUGUGGCUGGGGGUGAAAGGCCAAUCAAACCGGGAGAUAGCUGGUUCUCCCCGAAAGCUAUUUAGGUAGCGCCUCGUGAACUCAUCUCCGGGGGUAGAGCACUGUUUCGGCUAGGGGGCCAUCCCGGCUUACCAACCCGAUGCAAACUGCGAAUACCGGAGAAUGUUAUCACGGGAGACACACGGCGGGUGCUAACGUCCGUCGUGAAGAGGGAAACAACCCAGACCGCCAGCUAAGGUCCCAAAGUCAUGGUUAAGUGGGAAACGAUGUGGGAAGGCCCAGACAGCCAGGAUGUUGGCUUAGAAGCAGCCAUCAUUUAAAGAAAGCGUAAUAGCUCACUGGUCGAGUCGGCCUGCGCGGAAGAUGUAACGGGGCUAAACCAUGCACCGAAGCUGCGGCAGCGACACGUAUGUGUUGUUGGGUAGGGGAGCGUUCUGUAAGCCUGUGAAGGUGUGCUGUGAGGCAUGCUGGAGGUAUCAGAAGUGCGAAUGCUGACAUAAGUAACGAUAAAGCGGGUGAAAAGCCCGCUCGCCGGAAGACCAAGGGUUCCUGUCCAACGUUAAUCGGGGCAGGGUGAGUCGACCCCUAAGGCGAGGCCGAAAGGCGUAGUCGAUGGGAAACAGGUUAAUAUUCCUGUACUUGGUGUUACUGCGAAGGGGGGACGGAGAAGGCUAUGUCGGCCGGGCGACGGUUGUCCCGGUUUAAGCGUGUAGGCUGACUUUCCAGGCAAAUCCGGAAGGUUAAGGCUGAGGCGUGAUGACGAGGCACCACGGUGCUGAAGUGACAAAUGCCCUGCUUCCAGGAAAAGCCUCUAAGCAUCAGGUAACAUCAAAUCGUACCCCAAACCGACACAGGUGGUCAGGUAGAGAAUACCAAGGCGCUUGAGAGAACUCGGGUGAAGGAACUAGGCAAAAUGGUGCCGUAACUUCGGGAGAAGGCACGCUGACAUGUAGGUGAAGCCCCUGCGGGUGGAGCUGAAGUCAGUCGAAGAUACCAGCUGGCUGCAACUGUUUAUUAAAAACACAGCACUGUGCAAACACGAAAGUGGACGUAUACGGUGUGACGCCUGCCCGGUGCCGGAAGGUUAAUUGAUGGGGUUAUCGCAAGAGAAGCUCCUGAUCGAAGCCCCGGUAAACGGCGGCCGUAACUAUAACGGUCCUAAGGUAGCGAAAUUCCUUGUCGGGUAAGUUCCGACCUGCACGAAUGGCGUAAUGAUGGCCAGGCUGUCUCCACCCGAGACUCAGUGAAAUUGAACUCGCUGUGAAGAUGCAGUGUACCCGCGGCAAGACGGAAAGACCCCGUGAACCUUUACUACAGCUUGACACUGAACAUUGAGCCUUGAUGUGUAGGAUAGGUGGGAGGCUUUGAAGCGUGGACGCCAGUCUGCGUGGAGCCGACCUUGAAAUACCACCCUUUAAUGUUUGAUGUUCUAACCUGGCGCCGUGAUCCGGCGUGGGGACAGUGUCUGGUGGGUAGUUUGACUGGGGCGGUCUCCUCCCAAAGUGUAACGGAGGAGCACGAAGGUCAGCUAAUCCUGGUCGGACAUCAGGAGGUUAGUGCAAUGGCAUAAGCUGGCUUGACUGCGAGAGUGACGGCUCGAGCAGGUGCGAAAGCAGGUCAUAGUGAUCCGGUGGUUCUGUAUGGAAGGGCCAUCGCUCAACGGAUAAAAGGUACUCCGGGGAUAACAGGCUGAUACCGCCCAAGAGUUCAUAUCGACGGCGGUGUUUGGCACCUCGAUGUCGGCUCAUCACAUCCUGGGGCUGAAGUAGGUCCCAAGGGUAUGGCUGUUCGCCAUUUAAAGUGGUACGCGAGCUGGGUUUAGAACGUCGUGAGACAGUUCGGUCCCUAUCUGCCGUGGGCGCUGGAGAAUUGAGGGGGGCUGCUCCCAGUACGAGAGGACCGGAGUGGACGCAUCACUGGUGUUCGGGUUGUCAUGCCAAUGGCACUGCCCGGUAGCUAAAUGCGGAAGAGAUAAGUGCUGAAAGCAUCUAAGCACGAAACUUGCCCCGAGAUGAGUUCUCCCUGAGACUGUAAGUCUCCUGAAGGAACGUUGAAGACGACGACGUUGAUAGGCCGGGUGUGUAAGCGCAGCGAUGCGUUGAGCUAACCGGUACUAAUGAACCGUGAGGCUUAACCUUACAACGCCAAAGAAGU
This 2928-nucleotide ribosomal RNA is filed under the name Cronobacter sakazakii. Its description in RNAcentral is "23S ribosomal RNA". It matches the Rfam family "Bacterial large subunit ribosomal RNA". Lineage: Bacteria; Pseudomonadati; Pseudomonadota; Gammaproteobacteria; Enterobacterales; Enterobacteriaceae. The record is from RNAcentral.